This is a long non-coding RNA of Toxotes jaculatrix (banded archerfish), 195 nucleotides long. RefSeq lists it as uncharacterized. The record is from RefSeq and is a predicted model, not a curated record. The transcript has 3 exons. Lineage: Eukaryota; Metazoa; Chordata; Actinopteri; Toxotidae.
CUCCGGUCCGUAGCUGCUCCGCAACACAGGACAUAAGACCAGAUUGGAGACCUCAAUAAGUGAGCCAACUUAUCAAUAAUACAAGCUGUGGUUGAUUCAGAGGAUGAGCCAAGAGCAGAGUCAGCCUGGAUGAGAUGCUGAGGACAUAAGACUGAUCAACACGGAGCUCUGCAGCAGUCCACCUUCAAGCACGAU